UACGUAGGGGGCAAGCGUUGUCCGGAUUUAUUGGGCGUAAAGCGCGUGCAGGCGGUCCGUUAAGUCGGCCGUGAAAGCUCCGGGCUCAACUCGGAGAGGUCGGGCGAGACUGGCGGACUGGAGGCGGGCAGAGGGCGGUGGAAUUCCGGGUGUAGUGGUGGAAUGCGUAGAGCUCCGGAGGAACACCAGUGGCGAAGGCGGCCGCCUGGGCCCGUCCUGACGCUGAGACGCGAAAGCGUGGGGAGCGAUCCGG
Molecule: ribosomal RNA, 253 nt
Filed under: uncultured bacterium
Lineage: Bacteria
Description: partial 16S ribosomal RNA
Rfam family: Bacterial small subunit ribosomal RNA
Source: RNAcentral